RNAcentral lists this ribosomal RNA (1611 nucleotides) under Pseudomonas syringae pv. maculicola. Its description in RNAcentral is "bacterial LSU rRNA". It matches the Rfam family "Bacterial large subunit ribosomal RNA", at positions 1331 to 2925 of the family's 2925-position model. The record is from RNAcentral. Lineage: Bacteria; Pseudomonadati; Pseudomonadota; Gammaproteobacteria; Pseudomonadales; Pseudomonadaceae.
CCCACGCCGAAAGACCAAGGUUUCCUGCGCAACGUUAAUCGACGCAGGGUUAGUCGGCCCCUAAGGCGAGGCUGAAAAGCGUAGUCGAUGGAAAACAGGUUAAUAUUCCUGUACUUCUGGUUAUUGCGAUGGAGGGACGGAGAAGGCUAGGCCAGCCUGGCGUUGGUUGUCCAGGUUUAAGGUGGUAGGCUGAGAUCUUAGGUAAAUCCGGGAUUUCAAGGCCGAGAGCUGAUGACGAGUGUUCUUUAGAACACGAAGUGGUUGAUGCCAUGCUUCCAAGAAAAGCUUCUAAGCUUCAGGUAACCAGGAACCGUACCCCAAACCGACACAGGUGGUUGGGUAGAGAAUACCAAGGCGCUUGAGAGAACUCGGGUGAAGGAACUAGGCAAAAUGGCACCGUAACUUCGGGAGAAGGUGCGCCGGUGAGGGUGAAGCAUUUACUGCGUAAGCCCACGCCGGUCGAAGAUACCAGGCCGCUGCGACUGUUUAUUAAAAACACAGCACUCUGCAAACACGAAAGUGGACGUAUAGGGUGUGACGCCUGCCCGGUGCCGGAAGGUUAAUUGAUGGGGUUAGCGCAAGCGAAGCUCUUGAUCGAAGCCCCGGUAAACGGCGGCCGUAACUAUAACGGUCCUAAGGUAGCGAAAUUCCUUGUCGGGUAAGUUCCGACCUGCACGAAUGGCGUAACGAUGGCGGCGCUGUCUCCACCCGAGACUCAGUGAAAUUGAAAUCGCUGUGAAGAUGCAGUGUAUCCGCGGCUAGACGGAAAGACCCCGUGAACCUUUACUAUAGCUUUGCACUGGACUUUGAAUUUGCUUGUGUAGGAUAGGUGGGAGGCUUUGAAGCGUGGACGCCAGUCUGCGUGGAGCCAACCUUGAAAUACCACCCUGGCAACUUUGAGGUUCUAACUCAGGUCCGUUAUCCGGAUCGAGGACAGUGUAUGGUGGGUAGUUUGACUGGGGCGGUCUCCUCCUAAAGAGUAACGGAGGAGUACGAAGGUGCGCUCAGACCGGUCGGAAAUCGGUCGUAGAGUAUAAAGGCAAAAGCGCGCUUGACUGCGAGACAGACACGUCGAGCAGGUACGAAAGUAGGUCUUAGUGAUCCGGUGGUUCUGUAUGGAAGGGCCAUCGCUCAACGGAUAAAAGGUACUCCGGGGAUAACAGGCUGAUACCGCCCAAGAGUUCAUAUCGACGGCGGUGUUUGGCACCUCGAUGUCGGCUCAUCACAUCCUGGGGCUGAAGCCGGUCCCAAGGGUAUGGCUGUUCGCCAUUUAAAGUGGUACGCGAGCUGGGUUUAGAACGUCGUGAGACAGUUCGGUCCCUAUCUGCCGUGGACGUUUGAGAUUUGAGAGGGGCUGCUCCUAGUACGAGAGGACCGGAGUGGACGAACCUCUGGUGUUCCGGUUGUCACGCCAGUGGCAUUGCCGGGUAGCUAUGUUCGGAAAAGAUAACCGCUGAAAGCAUCUAAGCGGGAAACUUGCCUCAAGAUGAGAUCUCACUGGAACCUUGAGUUCCCUAAAGGGCCGUCGAAGACUACGACGUUGAUAGGUUGGGUGUGUAAGCGCUGUGAGGCGUUGAGCUAACCAAUACUAAUUGCCCGUGAGGCUUGACC